CCUACGGGCGGCAGCAGUGGGGGAUAUUGCACAAUGGGGGGAACCCUGAUGCAGCGACGCCGCGUGGGUGAAGGAGCGUUUCGGCGCGUAAAGCCCUAUCGGCAGGGAAGAAGGAGGACGGUACCUGACUAAGAAGCCCCGGCUAACUACGUGCCAGCAGCCGCGGUAAUACGUAGGGGGCAAGCGUUAUCCGGAUUUACUGGGUGUAAAGGGGGCGCAGACGGCAGCGCAAGCCAGGAGUGAAAGCCCGGGGCCCAACCCCGGGACUGCUCUUGGAACUGCGCGGCUGGAGUGCAGGAGGGGCAGGCGGAAUUCCUGGUGUAGCGGUGAAAUGCAUAGAUAUCACACAGAACACCGAUUGCGAAGGCAUCUCACGAAUCCGCGAUUGACGCUGAUGCACGAAAGCGUGGGUAUCAAACAGGAUUAGAUACCCGUGUAGUC
Molecule: ribosomal RNA, 441 nt
Filed under: uncultured bacterium
Lineage: Bacteria
Description: partial 16S ribosomal RNA
Rfam family: Bacterial small subunit ribosomal RNA
Source: RNAcentral